Molecule: transfer RNA, 70 nt
Filed under: Loxodonta africana (African savanna elephant)
Lineage: Eukaryota; Metazoa; Chordata; Mammalia; Proboscidea; Elephantidae
Rfam family: tRNA
About the family: Transfer RNA (tRNA) molecules are approximately 80 nucleotides in length. Their secondary structure includes four short double-helical elements and three loops (D, anti-codon, and T loops).
Source: Rfam by way of RNAcentral
UCAGUGGUGGUUCAGAGGUAGAAUUCUUGCCUUCUGUGCAGGAGAACCGGUUCAAUUCCCCGCCAAUGCA